CACGAAGUAUUAAAGGUGACGCCUGCCCAGUGAUACUUAAACGGCCGCGGGAUCCUCACCGUGCAAAGGUAGCAUAAUCACUUGUCACCUAAAUAGUGACUAGUAUGAACGGCCCCAUGAAGAUUUUACUGUCUCUUGAAACCAGCCCAUGAAACUAUUCUCUCAGUACAAAAACUGAAAUAUUAACAUAAGACGAAAAGACCCUGUGGAACUUAAAGCACCCCCCAUACACUAUGACCACCUGCUUUUAGUUGGGGCAACUUUGGAAUUAAACAAAACUUCCAACAACACCAAUAGACUCACAAGUCCACACCACCAUUUAGACCCAGUACAACUGAACAAAGAACCAAGCUACCCCAGGGAUAACAGCGCUAUCCCCUCUUAGAGCCCAAAUCGAAGAGUGGGGUUUACGACCUCGAUGUUGGAUCAGGGCCCCCAAACAGUGCAACAGCUGUUAACGGUUUGUUUGUUCAACAACUAACGCCCUACGCGAUCUGAGUUAAGACCGGAGUAAUCCAGGUCGGUUUCU
Molecule: ribosomal RNA, 529 nt
Filed under: Neusticurus surinamensis
Lineage: Eukaryota; Metazoa; Chordata; Lepidosauria; Squamata; Gymnophthalmidae
Description: partial 16S large subunit ribosomal RNA
Rfam family: Bacterial large subunit ribosomal RNA
Source: RNAcentral